CCUAAUACAUGCAAGUCGAGCGGUAACAGAAAGUAGCUUGCUACUUUGCUGACGAGCGGCGGACGGGUGAGUAAUGCUUGGGAACGUGCCUUGAGGUGGGGGACAACAGUUGGAAACGACUGCUAAUACCGCAUAAUGUCUACGGACCAAAGGGGGCUCUGUCUCGCCUUUAGAUUGGCCCAAGUGGGAUUAGCUAGUUGGUGAGGUAAUGGCUCACCAAGCAACGAUCCCUAGCUGGUUUGAGAGGAUGAUCAGCCACACUGGGACUGAGACACGGCCCAGACUCCUACGGGAGGCAGCAGUGGGGAAUAUUGCACAAUGGGCGCAAGCCUGAUGCAGCCAUGCCGCGUGUGUGAAGAAGGCCUUCGGGUUGUAAAGCACUUUCAGUCAGGAGGAAAGGUUAGUAGUUAAUACCUGCUAGCUGUGACGUUACUGACAGAAGAAGCACCGGCUAACUCCGUGCCAGCAGCCGCGGUAAUACGGAGGGUGCGAGCGUUAAUCGGAAUUACUGGGCGUAAAGCGUACGCAGGCGGUUUGUUAAGCGAGAUGUGAAAGCCCCGGGCUCAACCUGGGAACUGCAUUUCGAACUGGCAAACUAGAGUGUGAUAGAGGGUGGUAGAAUUUCAGGUGUAGCGGUGAAAUGCGUAGAGAUCUGAAGGAAUACCGAUGGCGAAGGCAGCCACCUGGGCAACACUGACGCUCAUGUACGAAAGCGUGGGGAGCAAACAGGAUUAGAUAUCCUGGUAGUCC
Molecule: ribosomal RNA, 750 nt
Filed under: uncultured Gammaproteobacteria bacterium
Lineage: Bacteria; Pseudomonadati; Pseudomonadota; Gammaproteobacteria
Description: bacterial SSU rRNA
Rfam family: Bacterial small subunit ribosomal RNA
Source: RNAcentral